This 1285-nucleotide ribosomal RNA is filed under the name Platisus zelandicus. RNAcentral describes it as "16S ribosomal RNA". The stretch from base 1044 to 1202 matches the Rfam family "Archaeal large subunit ribosomal RNA", at positions 2542 to 2701 of the family's 2987-position model. Lineage: Eukaryota; Metazoa; Arthropoda; Insecta; Coleoptera; Cucujidae. The record is from RNAcentral.
UAUUAUUUUUAUUAUUUAAGUUUUAUGUAAUUAUUAAUUUUAAUAUAAGAAGAUGAUUUUUUAUUAUUUAAGAAGAAAAAAUUUAAUUUAUAAUAGUGAAUAUGUAUUGUGAAAGAAUUAAAUUAAUAUUUUUAGAAGAAAAAUUAAUUUUUUGUACCUUGUGUAUCAGGGUUUAUUAAAUAUAAAUAAUAUAUGUUUAUUAUCUCGAAUUUAAAAGAGCUAAAAAUUUAUAUUUUUUAUUGUUGAAUAAAUAUUGUGAAUAAAUUUUUUGUAAUGAAACGUUAUUCGUUUUUAAAUAUAUCUAGUUUUUUUAGAAAAAAAUUUAAUUUUUUUUUAGAAUUUUAUAUAAAUAAUUAUUUAUUAAUAUAAAUUUUAAAUUUUAUAAUUUUAGGGAUAAGCUUGAAAUUAGAUUUUUAUAAAUAAAUUAAAAUUAUUUAAAUGUAGGAUUAGAAGUUUUUAUCAUUAAUAAAAUGUUAUAAUUUAUAAAUAAAGAUUUAUGAUUUUUAAUUAUUUUAAAUUUUUUAUAAAAAUUUUUAUUUUAAUAUUUAAAAUAAAGUAAUAAUGAUAGAAUUAGUAUAUAGUAUAUUAUUUGUAAGAAUGAUUUUUUAGUUUAGGUAAAGGAACUAGACAAAUAUAUUUUUCACCUGUUUAUUAAAAACAUGUCUUUUUGAUAAUAAUUUAAAGUCUAACCUGCCCACUGAGGAUUUAAAUGGCUGCGGUAAUUUGACCGUACAAAGGUAGCAUAAUCAUUAGUUUUUUAAUUGAAAGCUGGUAUGAAAGGUUGAAUGAGAAAAUAGUUGUCUCUAUCUUAAUAUGUAGAAUUUUAUUUUUAAAUAAAAAAGUUUAAAUAAUUAUAAAAGACGAGAAGACCCUAUAGAGUUUUAUAUAAUUUUUAAAUUUUUUUUUUUAGUAUUAAUAAUUAGGUUUAAAAAUUUUAUUUGGUUGGGGUGAUUGAAAAAUUUAAUUAACUUUUUUUAUUUUGUAACAUUAAUUUAUGAUUUAUUGAUCCAAAACUUUUGAUUAUAAGAAAUAAUUACCUUAGGGAUAACAGCGUAAUUUUUUUUUAGAGUUCAUAUUAAAAGAAAAGAUUGCGACCUCGAUGUUGGAUUAAAUUUUAUUUUAGGUGUAGAAGCUUAAAUAUUAGGUCUGUUCGACCUUUAAAAAUUUACAUGAUCUGAGUUUAAACCGGUGUGAGCCAGGUUGGUUUCUAUCUUUAUAAAAGAAAAAUAUUUUAGUACGAAAGGACCAAAUAUUUAAUUAAUAAAUUUUUUUAUUGAAUAUUAUU